Molecule: ribosomal RNA, 521 nt
Filed under: uncultured bacterium
Lineage: Bacteria
Description: bacterial SSU rRNA
Rfam family: Bacterial small subunit ribosomal RNA
Source: RNAcentral
AAUAGAUACCCGGGUAGUCCACGCCGUAAACGAUGAGUGCUAAGUGUUAGAGGGUUUCCGCCCUUUAGUGCUGCAGCUAACGCAUUAAGCACUCCGCCUGGGGAGUACGGUCGCAAGACUGAAACUCAAAGGAAUUGACGGGGGCCCGCACAAGCGGUGGAGCAUGUGGUUUAAUUCGAAGCAACGCGAAGAACCUUAUCAGGUCUUGACAUCCUCUGACAACCCUAGAGAUAGGGCUUUCCCCUUCGGGGGACAGAGUGACAGGUGGUGCAUGGUUGUCGUCAGCUCGUGUCGUGAGAUGUUGGGUUAAGUCCCGCAACGAGCGCAACCCUUGAUCUUAGUUGCCAGCAUUCAGUUGGGCACUCUAAGAUGACUGCCGGUGACAAACCGGAGGAAGGUGGGGAUGACGUCAAAUCAUCAUGCCCCUUAUGACCUGGGCUACACACGUGCUACAAUGGACGGUCAAAGGGCUGCAAGACCGCGAGGUUUAGCCAAUCCCAUAAAACCGUUCUCAGUUCGGA